CUCAGUGGUAGAGCGCCUGCCUUACAAGCAGGUGGUCACUGGUUCAACAAUCAUAAAGA
This 59-nucleotide transfer RNA is filed under the name Herposiphonia versicolor. RNAcentral's name for it is "tRNA-Val". The record is from RNAcentral. Lineage: Eukaryota; Rhodophyta; Florideophyceae; Ceramiales; Rhodomelaceae.